This 734-nucleotide ribosomal RNA is filed under the name uncultured endophytic bacterium. RNAcentral's name for it is "bacterial SSU rRNA". It matches the Rfam family "Bacterial small subunit ribosomal RNA", at positions 771 to 1504 of the family's 1533-position model. The record is from RNAcentral.
AACAGGAUUAGAUACCCUGGUAGUCCACGCCGUAAACGAUGAGUGCUAGGUGUUAGGCCCUUUCCGGGGCUUAGUGCCGGAGCUAACGCAGUAAGCACUCCGCCUGGGGAGUACGACCGCAAGGUUGAAACUCAAAGGAAUUGACGGGGGCCCGCACAAGCGGUGGAGCAUGUGGUUUAAUUCGAAGCAACGCGAAGAACCUUACCAGGUCUUGACAUCCCGAUGCUAUUCUUAGAGAUAGGAAGUUACUUCGGUACAUCGGAGACAGGUGGUGCAUGGUUGUCGUCAGCUCGUGUCGUGAGAUGUUGGGUUAAGUCCCGCAACGAGCGCAACCCUUAUUGUUAGUUGCCAUCAUUAAGUUUGGCACUCUAGCGAGACUGCCGGUAAUAAACCGGAGGAAGGUGGGGAUGACGUCAAAUCAUCAUGCCCCUUAUGACCUGGGCUACACACGUGCUACAAUGGUCGGUACAACGAGUUGCGAGUCGGUGACGGCAAGCUAAUCUCUGAAAGCCGAUCUCAGUUCGGAUUGGAGGCUGCAACUCGCCUCCAUGAAGUCGGAAUCGCUAGUAAUCGCGGAUCAGCACGCCGCGGUGAAUACGUUCCCGGGCCUUGUACACACCGCCCGUCACACCACGAGAGUUUGUAACACCCGAAGUCGGUGAGGUAACCUUUUAGGGGCCAGCCGCCUAAAGUGGGAUGGAUGAUUGGGGUGAAGUCGUAACAAGGUAGCCGUA